UACGGAGGAUCCGAGCGUUAUCCGGAUUUACUGGGUUUAAAGGGUGCGUAGGCGGGCGUUUAAGUCCGCGGUGAAAGUCUGCGGCUCAACCGUAGGAUUGCCGUGGAUACUGGACGUCUUGGAUUCGGUCGGGGCGGGCGGAAUGCGUGGUGUAGCGGUGAAAUGCAUAGAUAUCACGCAGAACGCCGAUAGCGAAGGCAGCUCGCCGGGCCGAUAUUGACGCUGAGGCACGAAAGCGUGGGGAUCAAACAGGAUUAGAUACCCUGGUAGUCCACGCCGUAAACGAUGAUGGCUGGGUGUUGGCGAUACACUGUCAGCGCCUGAGGGAAACCAUUAAGCCAUCCACCCGGGGAGUACGGCCGCAAGGCUGAA
Molecule: ribosomal RNA, 372 nt
Filed under: uncultured bacterium
Lineage: Bacteria
Description: bacterial SSU rRNA
Rfam family: Bacterial small subunit ribosomal RNA
Source: RNAcentral